CAAAUUACUUUUGAGGAUUAUAGUCUUCCUUACAUGAAUUGCUUCAUUGUAGUGUAUCAUAGACAACUCAUUUAAGACAUAAUUUCUUAUUUGUAGGAAGCAGCGUGUCCUCUCUUUGUAAGCCGUGCUAUUUAUUAGCUUGAGCCUCAUACAAACUUCUUUUGAUGAAACUCCAUGUGGCGUGAUUGAGAAGGACUUUUUACAUGACCAUAAGUUCAGCUGAUAUAAAAAUUCAAGGGGAUAAGGGACAGAUGCUCAGGCAUAUUACGUUGACCUAACGUUGGGCACAGGUGGGACAGGAACAGUCCUGGUGAGAAGAGGGGAGCAAUGGACCAAACCUGAGAGUCUCUGGUGCACAAACAGGAGAAGACAAAAGAAGGGAUCUGCUCCCAGAGCACUGAAACCUGGGAAACAGCAGUGAAGUAACUGUCACUUUACACAAUGCCUAAGUGGAUUUGAUCUUAAGGAUCACUCACACCUGAGAGUCAAAGAGAGAAGAGUUCAAGACAUGAAUGAAGUCAUGAAUAAACAGCUGUGUAGGAGAACA
RNAcentral lists this long non-coding RNA (547 nucleotides) under Calidris pugnax (ruff). RNAcentral's name for it is "lncRNA (ENSCPUG00000012581.1)". The record is from RNAcentral. Lineage: Eukaryota; Metazoa; Chordata; Aves; Charadriiformes; Scolopacidae.